UCAAGGUUUAUUUCGAUACAACCACUGGUGACUUCACGUGUUGCACAACAGCAGGACCACAAUUCCUUCCACCUUGGGAAACUUUUGCAUAGUGCCCUCCAGCCCUGCCACUGAAUCCAAAGGGCUCUGUGGAAGCUGUGUCAGUGGCCAUGAUUUGGUAUCCACAGGCUGUUGGGUGUUGAAUGUUCCCACUUCACUUGUACACUUGAAUUCUGUGCAACCCCUGCAGAGCAACUGGUAUGGGCCUCCCGUGUGACUCAGAAAGCAGUGACAGGCGAGGCUGGAUGACUCUGAGAUAGUUUUGUUUGAAAGACUUCUCACCCUUGAGUUUACCGGAUUCUGUGCUGCAUGAUCUCAUUGCUGCUAUCUCACCCUCUCUCCACCCUUCCCUCCCGUUGUUUGCUAUUGUAACUGAAGAUGAGACCCAAAAAGUUAAACAAACUUCUUAAAAACAGGGAACGCAUCAUCCUGUGUGUUUAUGCAGCAUUAAACACAACAAGAUCUUUAUCUGGAGAUACUGGAGACUGGGCGCUUAUUGGAUAUAAAUGAGCAAAGUUCCCAUCAACUCCAUGAUUUACACCAAUGUAAUGUUUGGCGCCAGGCUGUAUAAAGACGAGCAAGAAAAAAAAAGAAAAAAAAAAAAGAAGAAAAACGUGACUUCACAGACUUGUCCUUUAAAGCAUGAGAGCUUUUCUUACUAUUCAACAGUUAAAAAGUAGGAAAAAUUGAAAAUUAAAACACAUAGACUGACAAUAAUUACAAUCCCAAGCUUUAAAUUUAUGAAUAUGUCUUUAAACCCAACUCUGUUCUUUUCCACAGGGCAGUAAAGUGGUGAGCCAAAACCUCAGUUCUGAAUUUCUCUACAUCUUAGAGGCCACUGCUUGGAAUUUUCCUCCCCAAACAAGUUAUAGCAAUUAAAUUAAUAAUGGCACAGCAAUGCAGAAAGUCAGAGCACUGUCCCAACUCGGUUUAGUUUUUUGUAUAUGUAGCAGGUGAAGAAACUAGGGACCAGAGUAAGGUUCAAACCAGAGAUACUUUGAGUGAGGAGAAGUGACAGCACAACCUUGCACCUGUCCUUGUGUACAUGACCUGGCACUUGUGUCAACUUGUGCUAAUGCAGAGGGUGGUGGAAGAACAUCAUCCCAUCAACUCUGUCAUCAGGUGGCUUUGUGUUUGAAGUGAUGAGAAAACCUGGCUGGGGAGGCAGGAACACUUCUGGGCUUUCCUAGCUCUUAGAAUCACAGAAUCAUAAAAUCAUAGAACUGCUCAGGUUGGAAAAGACCUUAAAGAUCAUCAAGUCCAACCUGACCAUACUACUCUAACUCUAACAACCCUUCGCUAAAUCAUGUCCCUGAGCACCACCUCCAAGAGGCUUUUAAACACAUACAGAGAUGAUGACUCAACCACCUCCCUGGGGAACCCAGUCCAGUGUUUAACCACCCUUUCUGUAAAGUUUUUCCUGAUAUCCAACCUAAAUCUCCCUUGGCACAACUGGAGGCCAUUUCCCCUCGUCCUGUCACUUGUCACCAAUGAGAAGAGACAAACCCUGCUCUCGCUGCAAUCACCUUUCAGGUAUUGGAAGAGAGCAAUAACAUCUCUCCUCAUCCUUCUUUUCCCCAGACUAAAUAGCCCCAGUUCCUUCAGUCUCUCCACAUAGGCCAUAUUCUCCAAGCCCCCCACAAACCUUGUUGCCCUUCUUUGGACCUGCUCCAGCACCUCAUGUCCUUUAUAUACUGAGGUGCUCAAAACUGAACACAGUACUCAACAGAGACCUCACCAGUGAUGAGUACAGGGGAAAUCUUCCUCAGUACUGCCCUGGGUGGCUUACAUGAAAACUGCUUUGUAAAAGAUUGGAAAAAUUCUAAUUUGAAAAGGUUUAAAAGACUGACCUUAUUUUAAUUUACCAUUCAAAUUAGAAUGGUAAAAUGUUCAUUUCCUACUUCAAAUAGUUAAUAUUUUGCCUUUGAUUUAUUGACUCUUCUUUUUAACUAGAAAUCAAGGUAAAGCAAGUUUGGUUUUGUGAGUUGAUUUCUCUUUCUGCAAAAAUAAAAACCAAUAUCAUAA
Molecule: long non-coding RNA, 2064 nt
Organism: Tympanuchus pallidicinctus (lesser prairie-chicken)
Lineage: Eukaryota; Metazoa; Chordata; Aves; Galliformes; Phasianidae
Exons: 2
Source: RefSeq, a predicted model, not a curated record